Molecule: ribosomal RNA, 743 nt
Filed under: Trichoteleia orona
Lineage: Eukaryota; Metazoa; Arthropoda; Insecta; Hymenoptera; Scelionidae
Description: eukaryotic LSU rRNA
Rfam family: Eukaryotic large subunit ribosomal RNA
Source: RNAcentral
CCUGAGAAACCCGAAAGAUCGAAUGAGGAGAUUCAUCGUCAACGAAGUUGGCUUCCUUGUGGUUCGCGAUGUUUUGAGAUUUUAUCGAUUUUCACGCGUCCACUGAGGUAUGUCCAGCUACGUCGGCGUGCACUUCUACUCUAGUAGAACGUCGCGACCCGCUGGGUGUCGGUUUAAGGACCGAGUUGUCGACUGUCACCAUCGUCUCGGCGUACGGUGACAGACGCUUGGAAUCCCGACCGGCUGCCCGGCGGUACACGCAAGGUAUCGAGCCGCAUUUGAAUGCGUUCAGACUUGUUACAAGCCCGACCAUUUUACCCGNGUUGCACGGACACAGAGCCGGCAUCUUGAGUUGGUCAGCUGUUGGUUUAACGAUGUUCUCGAACUGGCUUAACUUGAAUUAAAGAUACCGGUCGGCGACGCUAUUGCUUUGGGUACUUUCAGGACCCGUCUUGAAACACGGACCAAGGAGUCUAACAUGUGCGCGAGUCAUUAGGAUAGUUAAACCUAAAGGCGCAUUGAAAGAGAAGAUCGUCCUCGUGUCGAUCAAGGGAGGAUGAGUAACGUUUAGAUGUUACUCCGCACUCCCGGGGUGUCUCGUUGUCAUUGCGACUUGAGGCGCACCCAGAGCGUACACGUUGGGACCCGAAAGAUGGUGAACUAUGCCUGGUCAGGAUGAAGUCAGGGGAAACUCUGAUGGAGGUCCGUAGCGAUUCUGACGUGCAAAUCGAUCGUCGGAACUG